Molecule: ribosomal RNA, 254 nt
Filed under: uncultured bacterium
Lineage: Bacteria
Description: partial 16S ribosomal RNA
Rfam family: Bacterial small subunit ribosomal RNA
Source: RNAcentral
UACGUAGGAUGCAAGCGUUGUCCGGAAUUACUGGGCGUAAAGCGUGCGUAGACGGUUAUGUAAGUCAGAUGUGAAAGCCCAGGGCUCAACCUUGGAAUUGCAUUUGAGACUGCAUAGCUAGGGUGCGGAAGAGGGAAGCGGAAUUUCCGGUGUAGCGGUGAAAUGCGUAGAUAUCGGAAGGAACACCAGUGGCGAAAGCGGCUUCCUGGUCCAGCACCGGACGUUCAGGCACGAAAGCGUGGGGAGCAAACAGG